AUGGUGCAUCAAUUUGCUUUUAUUUUUUUCAACCAGUCAGAGCAGUGUAAAUCUUUUCAAUUUUUGACAAAUAGUGGAGUUUUAUGGCAUAGAAGUGAAAAAGGGGAAUCAUCAAUUAAAGCAUUGGGUCAGAAGAUGUUGAUGGAGAUGAAAAGUCCACUCAGGAUUGAUAAAAGGAAGAUGGAUGCUUUGUUGGUAAAGACAACAGGAAGCCGAGGAAAUUCAGGGCCUGUUUGUGGUUCUAAAAUAAAUGAGUUACCUAACAACCAUUCAUCAAACACACUGUCUAGGAGUGAAGUUAUUGCUUCCAAAUGGUAG
This is a non-coding RNA of Vicia faba (fava bean), 318 nucleotides long. NCBI's taxonomy places the organism in Eukaryota, Viridiplantae, Streptophyta, Magnoliopsida, Fabales, Fabaceae. The record is from the annotation of a GenBank genome assembly.